GAUGGCUUCUGCAGUGAUAUACUAAAUGGGACAAUAUGGAGAAGAUUAGCAUGGCCCCUGCACAAGGAUGUCACACAAAUUUGCGAAUAUGUGAACAGGACA
Small nuclear RNA from Dromiciops gliroides (monito del monte), 102 nucleotides. The record is from RefSeq and is a predicted model, not a curated record. NCBI's taxonomy places the organism in Eukaryota, Metazoa, Chordata, Mammalia, Microbiotheria, Microbiotheriidae.